CCUACGGGUGGCUGCAGUGGGGAAUAUUGGACAAUGGGCGAAAGCCUGAUCCAGCCAUGCCGCGUGUGUGAAGAGGGCCUUCGGGUUGUAAAGCACUUUCAGUGGGGAAGAAAGCCUUGGGGCUAAUACCCUCGAGGAAGGACAUCACCCACAGAAGAAGCACCGGCUAACUCCGUGCCAGCAGCCGCGGUAAUACGGAGGGUGCGAGCGUUAAUCGGAAUUACUGGGCGUAAAGCGCGCGUAGGCGGUCUGAUAAGCCGGUUGUGAAAGCCCCGGGCUCAACCUGGGAACGGCAUCCGGAACUGUCAGGCUAGAGUGCAGGAGAGGAAGGUAGAAUUCCCGGUGUAGCGGUGAAAUGCGUAGAGAUCGGGAGGAAUACCAGUGGCGAAGGCGGCCUUCUGGACUGACACUGACGCUGAGGUGCGAAAGCGUGGGUAGCAAACAGGAUUAGAUACCCGGGUAGUC
This 465-nucleotide ribosomal RNA is filed under the name Vreelandella stevensii. Its description in RNAcentral is "partial 16S ribosomal RNA". It matches the Rfam family "Bacterial small subunit ribosomal RNA", at positions 338 to 795 of the family's 1533-position model. The record is from RNAcentral. Lineage: Bacteria; Pseudomonadati; Pseudomonadota; Gammaproteobacteria; Oceanospirillales; Halomonadaceae.